Molecule: ribosomal RNA, 485 nt
Filed under: uncultured bacterium
Lineage: Bacteria
Description: partial 16S ribosomal RNA
Rfam family: Bacterial small subunit ribosomal RNA
Source: RNAcentral
AUUGAACGCUGGCGGCAUGCCUUACACAUGCGAGUCGAACGGCAGCACGGGUGCUUGCUCCUGGUGGCGAGUGGCGAACGGGUGAGUAAUACAUCGGAACAUGUCCUGUAGUGGGGGAUAGCCCGGCGAAAGCCGGAUUAAUACCGCAUACGAUCUACGGAUGAAAGCGGGGGACCUUCGGGCCUCGCGCUAUAGGGUUGGCCGAUGGCUGAUUAGCUAGUUGGUGGGGUAAAGGCCUACCAAGGCGACGAUCAGUAGCUGGUCUGAGAGGACGACCAGCCACACUGGGAGUGAGACACGGCCCAGACUCCUACGGGAGGCAGCAGUGGGGAAUUUUGGACAAUGGGCGAAAGCCUGAUCCAGCAAUGCCGCGUGUGUGAAGAAGGCCUGCGGGUUGUAAAGCACUUGUGUCCGGAAAGAAAUCCUUGGCCCUAAUACGGUCGGGGGAGGACGGUACCGGAAGAAUAAGCACCGGCUAACUACGU